RNAcentral lists this ribosomal RNA (433 nucleotides) under uncultured bacterium. Its description in RNAcentral is "partial 16S ribosomal RNA". It matches the Rfam family "Bacterial small subunit ribosomal RNA", at positions 29 to 507 of the family's 1533-position model. The record is from RNAcentral.
AACGAACGCUGGCGGCAUGCCUAACACAUGCAAGUCGAACGAGACCUUCGGGUCUAGUGGCGCACGGGUGCGUAACGCGUGGGAACCUGCCCUUAGGUUCGGAAUAACUCCCCGAAAGGGGUGCUAAUACCGGAUAAUGUCUUCGGACCAAAGAUUUAUCGCCUUUGGAUGGGCCCGCGUUGGAUUAGCUAGUUGGUAGUGGAAAAGCCUACCAAGGCGUCGAUCCAUAGCUGGUCUGAGAGGAUGAUCAGCCACACUGGGACUGAGACACGGCCCAGACUCCGACGGAGGGCAGCAGUGGGGAAUAUUGGACAAUGGGCGAAAGCCUAGUCCAGCCAUGCCGGGUGAGUGAUGAAGGCCUUAGGGUUGUAAAGCUCUUUUACCCGGGAUGAUAAUGACAGUACCGGGAGAAUAAGCUCCGGCUAACUCCGUG